Molecule: non-coding RNA, 559 nt
Filed under: Pan troglodytes (chimpanzee)
Lineage: Eukaryota; Metazoa; Chordata; Mammalia; Primates; Hominidae
Also listed under: 1 other name
Source: RNAcentral
GGUAAUGUCUGGGAAUCCGAGACACAUAACCCUAAUUCAUAAAUGGGAUUUGGGGUAGGUCUUUUUGAGUCGUGUUAAUGUAAGAAUGACUCCUAUCAUUAGGAGUGCUGCUCGGAGGUUACUCACCUUUGGGAGUAAUACUGAAGAGAGGGGUCUGCAGAAAGGAUGUGUAUGAAGCUUAGAUAAUAAUGGCUGUUUCGUAAACUGUUUGAGACCUAUUAAUGAAAAUGACUAUUUCUUGCUGUUUUUAUCCAACGUCUGCAUUUUCCCCCUUUAAAGCUGCGGUCUCCUGUUUGAUAAAAGAAUAUUGGCCAGUAUUGCAGAUUUUAACUGAUUUGGCUGAUCCUCCAGGGACCAGUUUCUGUGGGCGUGUAUUGGAGCAGGUUUGUCUUUAAAUGUUAAAGAUGCACUAUCCUCUUAGAGAAACAAUCAGUUCAACUAUUGUUGUACUGACUGGGACUUCAUAUUCUAAUGGAUGUGGCAAAAGAAUUGCAAUAAGAAGCAGUGAACAUUUGGAACCCCAAAAGAAAGUUACAGAUGUAUCGGCAAGCAGUGUAAA